Small nucleolar RNA from Ornithorhynchus anatinus (platypus), 137 nucleotides. Lineage: Eukaryota; Metazoa; Chordata; Mammalia; Monotremata; Ornithorhynchidae. The record is from RefSeq and is a predicted model, not a curated record.
CCCUUCUCGGGGUUGCAUCUGGAGAGUUUUCAGUACUCUAUCAGUCUUGAUAUGGGAGGGAGAGUCAAGCAGAGGCCUACCCAUUCCAUUCAUAGCCUGAGCAGUGGCUAGCGAGUGGAAGGCUAUCUGCUACAAGC